This is a long non-coding RNA of Xenia sp. Carnegie-2017, 655 nucleotides long. RefSeq lists it as uncharacterized. The transcript has 2 exons. The record is from RefSeq and is a predicted model, not a curated record. Lineage: Eukaryota; Metazoa; Cnidaria; Anthozoa; Malacalcyonacea; Xeniidae.
AUCUACAAAGCCAAAAGAAGAAAUUCUUACGAAACAGAGCAAUCCUUAAAAAUAAGAUUAAGAUGAAAGAUCGAACGAGACAACGUCUUCCAGGAAUAAGUGUUGAUUAAAGCAGAGGACCUUACUACGAUAGAGAAAUCAUGAAGUUUGACUAAACGUGGCGUGAAAUUCUCUGAAUCGUAAAGGAAUCAAAAGAAAAAAAUCAACAAGAGGAUGAUACAUGUACAUAACAGGAGCACAAGGGAACACUCAGAACAUUAUGAAUAGAGAAUCGUAGACAGCAGGAACACAAGGGAACACACAGAACAUUAUGAAUAGAGAAUCGUAGACAGCGUAAGGCAAUAUAAAAAUAUUUAUAUAAGCUGCAUGAAAAAAACAUAACUACUAUACAAAGUAGAAAUUAUAUAUUAUGUACAUUUGUAAAGUAAAUUAUCUAAAAUUCAUAUGAAAUGUUUUCACUGAGAACUUUUUGUUUGACUGAUUUUGUAAUGCACCAAAAGAUGGAAUGCGUGUUUUAGCAAAAUGUUGUAGGAACACAUGCAAGGCCUUCUUUUGUAAGUAUCCAAUUAUCUCAUAUUAACAAGAUUGUCGUCAUUUCACAAGAAAACAAACUCCAAAUAAACAUUUUAAUAACGUAUUUGUCAAUCAAUGAGUA